RNAcentral lists this ribosomal RNA (254 nucleotides) under uncultured bacterium. RNAcentral describes it as "partial 16S ribosomal RNA". It matches the Rfam family "Bacterial small subunit ribosomal RNA", at positions 524 to 776 of the family's 1533-position model. The record is from RNAcentral.
UACAGAGGGGGCAAGCGUUGUUCGGAAUUACUGGGCGUAAAGGGCGCGUAGGCGGCCUUCUAAGUCGAACGUGAAAUCCCCGGGCUCAACCCGGGAACUGCGUCCGAUACUGGAAGGCUUGAAUCCGGGAGAGGGAUGCGGAAUUCCAGGUGUAGCGGUGAAAUGGCGUAGAUAUCUGGAGGAACACCGGUGGCGAAGGCAGCUCGCUGGGACGGUACUGACGCUGAGGCGCGAAAGCGUGGGGAGCAAACAGG